This 452-nucleotide long non-coding RNA is filed under the name Lathyrus oleraceus (garden pea). RNAcentral describes it as "Pisum sativum (pea) long non-coding RNA (PSAT_LNC024651)". The record is from RNAcentral. Lineage: Eukaryota; Viridiplantae; Streptophyta; Magnoliopsida; Fabales; Fabaceae.
AUCCGUCCUACCGAGUUCAGCGCCAGAUACCUCAGAACCAACUAACAGCGGGUGAGUUUUUCUUUUUCUUUUUCUUUUUCUUUUUGUAGCAAAUUUUUACAACUCUUUUGGUUUAAAUGACUUUGUGAGGGUCACCUAUACCGGAUUUGCCUUUUUGCUUUCUUUUAUUUAUUUCACUGGAUCAUUCACUUAUGUUCAUCGGUCCCCUGCGUAGAGGAUGCGUAGGCCGGAGCUGACUGUUGGGAUAAACUACUGAGGACUUAUACUGAAAUGAUGAUUAAGGCCAUGGUAUAUGGGGUUUCGUGAAUGAUUCCUAUAUUCAUGAAGUCUAUGGUGCUAAAACAAUAUUGAUGUUUCAAAAAGUUCUCCCAAGUCACCGCAUCCUUACUCAAACCCGUCUUUAAAACCCAAAAACAUUCAGAAUAACACCGUUUUCUUUUGCAAAUUUUUUU